Molecule: long non-coding RNA, 6894 nt
Organism: Equus caballus (horse)
Lineage: Eukaryota; Metazoa; Chordata; Mammalia; Perissodactyla; Equidae
Source: Ensembl
UGCCCAUUUACAGUCACUCCCCAUUCUCUCCCACAACCCCACAGCUAUAGGCAACCACUAAUCUUUCUGUGUCUAUAGAUUCACAGCUGCUUCUUGGCCACCAAUCUGGUUCUUCUCAUUUCAUCCUUCACACUGCUGCAAGAGAAGUCCUAGAAUGAAAUCCAAUCCAGUUAUUCCCCUUCAUAAAAUCCUCUAGCCUCAGAUGCACUCUCAACUUCUCAGAGUGGCAUUCAGGCCCUUCAUGCUCUGGCUCCUCUUUUUCUUCACCAGCCCAUUGCCUUUCACUUCCUUUAUGGCACCCUGUGUGCCAAAGGUGAAUCACAGCACUUGCCAUUUCCCAAGCAUGCCAUGCUUCUCACACCUCAGUACCUUUGCACGUGCCACUUCCUUCAUCUGAAAUGCCCUUCUCCUCCAUCCCCGGCUCACCAGCUCAGGCACCAUGUCAUCUAAAAGGCCUUCCUCAGCCACCUCAGGCUGAGUCAUUUCACGUCUGUUUCCAUAGCUCCUGGUUGAUAUCUCUUGCAUCAUAGCACUUACCAUAUUACGUUAUAUUUGCUGGUUUGCCCAUCUGUCUUCCACACCAGAUUGUGAGCUCUUUAAGGGCACAGAAUGUGUCAUGUUCAGCUUUGAGACCCCACGUAGAGUUCAGCAUCUGGCAGUUAGUAAGAACUCAGUAAGUGGUGAAUGACUGAGUGAGUGGCAGCUAUGGCAUCACAGUUGUGUUUGGUGAACUACUAACUGCAUAAAGAUUCUUCCUCAGCAGAUCAAGUUUAUUUUACUUGGGGUUAUAAAUGAUGCUGUCUGUUAUAGUUGCCCAAGAAGUCUUGCAGAAUGUGGAUCUUUUACAAAAUUUUCUUAGUCAAAGGGUUAGCUCGUGUUGUUUGACUGAAGAAACUUAGGGGGAAAAAUAUGCAGUUUUGGUAGCAAGCUUUAGUCCCAUUUUUAAUGUACUUUAAACAUCAACUUGCAUGCAGAUAAAGCAUGCACAUAUUUCCCUUGAUGGAGCACAGCAGUUCCAAAUGUAAUCUUUUAUAACAUGCUAAAUAGACCUUGAGGCAUAAGGUGACUCUCAUAAUAACACAGGUUUGAUGAUUCAGGGGGUUCUGUGAAUAGUUGGUGUUUGAGAGACUCUUGCUAUCCUAUUGGUCUGACACUAUGAUAAUGGAGCAUAUGCUCAGCCACAGCUGUGUCCAAAUUUAAGCGAACCCCAAAUAGACUGGGCCUACUUCCUGGCCGUUCUUCUCGUGGCACAGAUUUUGAUCUUGACUUGUUCUCUAAGCAAUCUGAAAUGUGUGUGAUCUGUCUACUUCCUAUGUGGGGAGAAAGGCAAAUCUGAGCAGAGAAUGGGGCAGUGUUAUCCAUGUGCAUAAAUUCUACCCAGGCUACCGUCAGAAGCCUGCGGCUGCUCAGCAAAACAGCACAAGUUACUACCAGCCUCAGCUGCAGUAACUGCACCCUGGAGCAUUCUCAAAUGGCCAGCCAAUGGGGAGUCGUCUGCCUAAGUGGGGUUUUUAGCCAUCUUUCAGUUCAAUUGAAGAGGGAGCUUAAGGACAUCAUAGGGAUUUGUAAUGUUCCAUGCAAGGUGUCAGACCCAUAAACUAGCAUGUCCAUCGCACCAGUGCGCACAUGGAAUCAUCUCUCGUGGGUGGCAGAGAGAUUGAAGAUGACCUUUUACUGUUUAAUUGUAUUCAUCAUUUAAUAAUUCAGGAAUACCUAAAAGGGGUGAAGACUUCUGCAUUCAGACUAGAAUUAGACUCUUUCAGAAUGUUAGAAGGAAAAUACAGUAAAACAGAAGCACUUUGCAACCAGCCUGCAAGCAGUGCCUUUGCGCGUCUUGGUUCCCAGAGCUGUCCCCAACUGGGAGACAGGAGACCUGUGUUCCAGCCUUAGGUCAGCACUAUCCUGUGCAAUACCGUGGAUCAAUUUCUUCCUCUUUAAAACGAGAGCAUUGCACAGAUCUCCCAGGUUUGUUUUAGCACUAAAAUUCUGAUUCCUCUUAGUUAAGGGUUUAAGAAAACGUGAGGCAUGUGCUUCUGACAGUCUUUAGACUCUUUCUGCUUAGGUAUUAUUUAUUGCUCAUAUAGCCAUCUCAUUUAUUAGGGUUUUUUUUUUAUAGCUUGGAAUAGAUUCAGAGAUCAAUACAUUUUUAUUAAUGAUAGUCCGUCAUGCCUGGUAAAGAGAUGGCAAGAGAGCUCAUCUAGAAUGAGCUACUUGAAUAAACCUGACAUACCAGCUUAGCUACAGGCUGCAUUUUGGCAGGCCUCUCUGUAAAAUAAUGACAUUGGCAGAGGGAGAGACUAUGGAAACCUUCCUCACAGCCAGACUCAUAAAAUCAAAGGGCAGGUUUGGGGUGUUUCUUAGCCUUGGCUGUGUAUGCAAAUCCCAUGACUUUUUGAGUGUUGCCUUUUAUCUUCAAAAGGACAAAAUUUGGCAUUUGCCGUCAUCAUUAAAAAUGAUAAAUGCCUAAAAUGCUUUCAAGUUGGGAUUAUUGUAGGGUAGAACAAAUAUUGUUUCAGUACCAAACAGUAUCAGAGUAGAAAACUUCUCACUGACACUGUCAAAUCAGGAAAUUAGAAACCCUUCAUUAAUUUUCCCUUUAAAUCAUAUGAAAUUGGGCAUAAAUGUUGCCAGUUCUCCUUAGAAAAAUGAACGGUCUGGACCUUUUGGAGGUGAAUUACUCCUCCCAACACCAUUAAGAGACAGCCUUGUGCCCUGCAAGAGUUAAUUUGCCCCCAGAUGGAGCUUUUCAGGCCCUCUGAGCAGAGUUCAGAUGAUAUCAAGUUCACUAUUCUUCUGUUUUGUGCCUGUUGAACUUAAUUUUCAUUCCCUUUAUGGAUAGAAUUUGAAAUAUUCUAUGCUAAUUUUAAACUGUUUGAGACCUUUUCCAGAAACUUCACCUUAUAGUUCUGAUUUCAGACACCCUAAGAGCAAAUGGAGCUUUAAUUCCUGUCUGUCUCCUCCUCUUAAUGACCUUAACCCUGACCCCAGGCCUGCUCUCUAUAAGUGCCAAACAUGAUUCAUUCUCCUUGCUUGGUUUAGUUUUGUCCCUUUAAUGAGCCAAGAUGACCAGGGAGAACUGAUAGCUUAUUUGUGCUAAUAUAAGUAUGUUCUACUGGUUAACUCCUAAUGCAUUUAUUUGGCUUGUACUUUUACCUAAAAUUGACCCUUUGUCUGAGGGAUGAAAAGUCCAUAUUUUAGACAAAGGAGAUGCAAACAGCUCACAUUAACAAGCAAGUCAGGAGACAGACCUUACACAGGAAUGCAGGAUAAAGCCAACUGUGAGAGAAGGAGAGUCUUUGUAUUCUGUGCCUCAACUGUCAUAUUAUGGAUACAGUAUACAUGGUCAUUAAGAACAUAUUUUAUUGUGCAGUUACAGCCUAAUGAGCUACUGCUCAGAACCACUUUUCUUUCUGAUUUCCAGGAUUCAUUAUGUCUCGAAGUUAAAAAUUUCUGUGCUUGUGACUCUGUGGUCUGAGUGCCUCAUUUCUCCAGCCUCUAUAACUUAAUUUCUGAUACUGUUUGUGUGUGCAGGACUGCUUUUUGACUGUGUGUUUAAUACAUAGUACCCGAUUUUAUUUUCAAUGUUGCAAUGGCAGAACUGGGCCAUCAAGAAUGCUUAGAAGGUGAUAAGCAGUAAGAGACUUGUAAAGAGAUUUAUGAUAGGUUUAGCUUCCCUAUUUUCCGGCUUACCACUUUUAGCCCACCUCAUAUUAGGUUGGUAGGGGUCUGACCAUGGAUUUCUGACAGAUGUGUUUUUAUCCUUGUGAAUUUAUGCUUGCUUCAGUGUCAAAAAAAAAAAAAAAAAAAAAAAAACCUGUUAAAAACUGAUAGGACUUUGAACAGUGGGUUGAUCCCUGAUUAUGGCCUUUCCUGGCCAUCUCAUUUAAUUUCUGGCUGGUCCAACUAGUGACAUUAAAAGCUGCCCCUUCCGAGCUUGGCUGUUGUCUGCAUUGCACUGUACUCAGAGCAGUUAGUCUGGCCCCUUUUAUAGGUCAGUGACACCCUCAAGCUUGUAUACCUGUGUCACUACAAAUCUUAAAAGAUGCAAUUUUCUUGGCAGCUUCAUCCUCCUAAGAUGUAUUGGAGGUGGGAGUGAAGGGCAGGGUUCUAAUCUCCGUGUUAGGACCAGGGAGGGCGGACUCCUCUGUCCUCCCUCAUGCGGGCCCUGGGAGACCGCUGGCUGAAGGACUCUGAAAGAGGAUUCAGCUGGUGGUAUUAGUCACAUGCUGGGAUUUUUGUUUUUAAACAAUCUGCUUCUCUUCUGAAAAUACCUGGUUGUGCUUCUGGAACAGUACUGAUGGCGUCCCUCAUCCACAGUACAGCUUUACAUACUUGCUCUCUUUAGAAGAAAUAAGAUUAAAACGUCAAAGAAAAUUCUCCUCAAGGCAGUCGAACUGUUAUCUCUCCAGACCUUCAGAGUUGGGGAAUCUUUUCUUGUGUUAGUCCUAUUAUGCCAGAUAGUUUCCUCUUAAAAAAAAAAAAAACAUAAAUGAAUUCUGCAUGGUCAGGUAUUGUCAUCUUUGCAGAGAAUUUUCUUUGCCUAAUGUCCUAUCUGAUGGGCCAUUCUAUGUAUUAUAUGCUACAUAAUCUCCACAAAUGUAUACUGUGGUCCAUAAAACUGCCAUACUGUUUUCAGAAACUAGUAAUUCACAAAGUAAACCUGAGACAGUGCUGUUAAUAAACACAAAUUGCAAACAAGAAGGUAGUAAGUGGAAAUAAUGCACUCAUUUAGGAGCAAUAAAGCCUUUGAUCUUACUUUGAAGGAAAGAGUCCAUGUUGAAACUACCCAUUCAGGGACAGCCAGAUGCCCAUAAAGAGCAAGGCUUGCUUUGAUAGAAAAUCGCUGAGGCCUGUCUAGCAGGUCUGGUUUGUAAACAGAUUAGUUAAGGGCUCAUCAGGACUGAUUUGCAUAGGCUUCAGCGAGCCCCACUUUUUCAACCUUAAUGAGCAAUGCCAUUUCCAGGUUGGAAAUUACACUUUUUUUUUUUUUUCUAGCUAGAAAUCUUAGGUAAUUACUUUGUGGGAAAGGGAAAGAAUAUUCAUAUAAAGGGAACCCUUGCUGUCCUCAGCUAAUGGGAAAAUGAUGACCUAAGACUUGUUUUGCUUGCUCCAAAUGGUGAAUGAUAUAAUGAACGAAAUAGGUUAUGCGUUUAAAAUGUGGUUACAAAGAGGUUUUCCUCCCUUUCUCUGUUAUUUGAGAGAUAAAAGAGGAUUAAUCCAAAUUAUAAUAGAAAAGGUAACAUGGGACUGCAGACUCAGACUACAAAUAUUUAUUUAUCUGCAGAUUUUUAUGGAGGACCUCCUUGGAGCCAGGCUGUGUUCUAGGGGCCUCCUAUCCCUCAGUGCUCAAGGCAGACAAAGGCCCUGCCCUCAUGGAGCCUGCCCUCCAGAGCCUACCACUGUGGAGAAAAGGGAACAGUAAAGGAAAGGAGUUGAGCCAGUUUAAGCACGUAUUCUGAAAUCUCUACUUGUUAGCAGCCGUUUGCUUGAGAGAUGGCAAGACCAGUAUUUCCAGAGAGAAAAGACCCUCUGAUCAAUCUAAUUGCACUUUUAUUUUCAAUUCUCAGAAUAAUCAGUAAUUGCCUUGCUGUCAGUAAUCAAGAAUAUCUCCUAUCCUUAAAUUUUGUAGUGAAAAAAAUGUCAAAAGAAAACCUUUGCUUACUCUGGUCAUUUAAUAGAUAACAAAUGGAGCAGCUCAGUAGGGACAAAGGGUAGCUUUGAAAGUAAACAGUUCCCAAAUAAAAUGAAAUGAUAUCAGAAAUUUUCAACUCUGACCUUCUGAAAGUGCCAUGAGGUUGUGGUGGACAACGGUCUGUUUCUUUGUCUGGCUUGCGGCAACGUCGUUCUGCUUAUGAGAGAUCUUUGUAGGUAUUGUAAACACUGGUGACACUGACUUGCUCAGUUGGGAACUUGGGUUUAAAUAACAACCUUCAGCUUCAGCCUUUGUGUCCUGCCUUGUCAAGGCCAAGGACCUCAGCCGUCUGCUGCUUCCUAGAAGUGAGAUCAAAUCAGCACACUCCCAUAAAUGUCACCUUGGAUACAUUCCACUCUGAAAAACAACGGUCCAGCUCUGGUGGGGGAAGAGCAAACCACAUGAACAUGGAUUCCUUGCACCCGACAAUGAGAAGCCACGAUGCACACAAUGGUAGGGACUAGAGGAGCUCAAUCCCAAGGGCAGAGUGUGAUGUUCAUCGGCUCUGACCGACGAUAGCACAGGCAAGAAAAGCAUUAUCUUCAAUGCAGGAUUCUGCUUCCAGAAAUGGCCUAAAUCGUGGGGCUGGAAACAACAAGAAUCGAGCAAAUCCAAAUAACUCCCAGCUAACACUAGUAUGACAUUUGGUUAGGGAAAAUGUCCCAAGAGAAAUGUAAACUAUUUGAAAACAUCCUGUUACUAAAACUUGGACAUAAAAAGAAUGACAAAUGGACUGGACUCAACAACUUAAUUCUAAGCACGCAUGAGUUUGGCUCCCGUGAAUACUUUUUUAGCAUAUACUAUUUUUCAUGUUCUCUUAUAUGGAGAUGGUUCCUACCACAUGAAGAAAGAUCAAUUGACAUUUACUACUCACAGAAGAACAUGUUGGAAGCAAUCAGCAUCCUCACUGCUGGCCUGGGGUCGAGCUGAGUGAGUCACAGAAUCCUCGAUCUUUGCUGAGUCUCUGUCCAACUUCCCUCCAAGGCUCACCCCUGGGGACUGAUUACAACCAUCUGCUUAAGAGCUAUUACUCUGACCAAAGAAAGAAAAGCUACAAAUGGUCAAACAGAAGGAAUACAAGAACAACAGGGCAAAAUGACCAGAUCUUAAACCAUGCCUGGAAUUCAUCAUCCCCAAAGAGCUUCAUAUGCAUCCAGCUGGGAUCUCAGAAGGUGUGGGUCAAGUGCCCAGGAAGUGACAGG